GUCCUCGCAGCGCAGUGGUUAGCAUUUGUGUGCUUUUCUUCCUUCAGCAUUUCAUUUACCCAGCGAAAAUGAUUUGAAGCAGCGAAAGACGUCGGUUCGAAUCCGUCCGAGGACA
Podospora fimiseda is the source of this 115-nucleotide non-coding RNA. Lineage: Eukaryota; Fungi; Ascomycota; Sordariomycetes; Sordariales; Podosporaceae. The record is from the annotation of a GenBank genome assembly.